Paramuricea clavata is the source of this 89-nucleotide non-coding RNA. The record is from the annotation of a GenBank genome assembly. NCBI's taxonomy places the organism in Eukaryota, Metazoa, Cnidaria, Anthozoa, Malacalcyonacea, Plexauridae.
CGAGGGAAAUAGUUAGGUUUGUUUUCCCGAGAAUCUCAAUGUUUCCAAACAUUGAGAUUCGAGGGAAAACAAAACUAACUAUUUCCCGA